RNAcentral lists this ribosomal RNA (422 nucleotides) under uncultured bacterium. RNAcentral describes it as "bacterial SSU rRNA". It matches the Rfam family "Bacterial small subunit ribosomal RNA", at positions 355 to 774 of the family's 1533-position model. The record is from RNAcentral.
UAAGGAAUAUUGGUCGAUGGACGCAAGUCUGAACCAGCCAUGCCGCGUGGAGGAUGAAGGUCCUCUGGAUUGUAAACUUCUUUUAUCUGGGACGAAACACUUCUUUUCUAAGAGGCCUGACGGUACCAGAUGAAUAAGCACCGGCUAACUCCGUGCCAGCAGCCGCGGUAAUACGGAGGGUGCAAGCGUUAUCCGGAUUCACUGGGUUUAAAGGGUGCGUAGGUGGGUAUGUAAGUCAGUGGUGAAAUCCCCGAGCUUAACUUGGGAACUGCCAUUGAUACUAUAUAUCUUGAAUACCGUAGAGNUAAGCGGAAUAUGUCAUGUAGCGGUGAAAUGCUUAGAUAUGACAUGGAACACCAAUUGCGAAGGCAGCUUACUAUGCGGUGAUUGACACUGAGGCACGAAAGCGUGGGUAGCAAACA